This 500-nucleotide ribosomal RNA is filed under the name uncultured bacterium. RNAcentral's name for it is "partial 16S ribosomal RNA". It matches the Rfam family "Bacterial small subunit ribosomal RNA", at positions 30 to 523 of the family's 1533-position model. The record is from RNAcentral.
AUUGAACGCUGGCGGAAUGCUUUACACAUGCAAGUCGAACGGCAGCACGGACUUCGGUCUGGUGGCGAGUGGCGAACGGGUGAGUAAUGUAUCGGAACGUGCCCAGUCGUGGAGGAUAACGUAGUGAAAAUUACGCUAAUACCGCAUACGAUCUAUGGAUGAAAGCGGGGGAUCGCAAGACCUCGCGCGAUUGGAGCGGCCGGUAUCAGAUGAGGUAGUUGGUGGGGUAAAGGCCCACCAAGCCAACGAUCUGUAGCUGGUCUGAGAGGACGGCCAGCCACCCUGGAACUGAGACACGGGCCAGACUCCUACGGGAGGCAGCAGUGGGGAAUUUUGGACAAUGGGCGAAAGCCUGAUCCAGCCAUUCCGCGUGCAGGAUGAAGGCCCUCGGGUUGUAAACUGCUUUUGUACAGAACGAAAAGGUUUCUACUAAUACUAGGAGCUCAUGACGGUACUGUAAGAAUAAGCACCGGCUAACUACGUGCCAGCCGCCGCAGUAA